AGAGUUUGAUCCUGGCUCAGAGCGAACGUUAGCGGCAGGCCUAACACAUGCAAGUCGCACGAGAAUUCGGCUUCGGCCGAUAGUAAAGUGGCGGACGGGUGCGUAACACGUGGAUAAUCUGCCUCCGGCGGGGGAUAACUGUCCGAAAGGAUAGCUAAUACCGCAUUCGUCAGCGAGGUCUUCGGACCUUGCUGGGAAAG
This 200-nucleotide ribosomal RNA is filed under the name uncultured bacterium. RNAcentral's name for it is "partial 16S ribosomal RNA". It matches the Rfam family "Bacterial small subunit ribosomal RNA", at positions 8 to 206 of the family's 1533-position model. The record is from RNAcentral.